RNAcentral lists this ribosomal RNA (333 nucleotides) under uncultured bacterium. Its description in RNAcentral is "partial 16S ribosomal RNA". It matches the Rfam family "Bacterial small subunit ribosomal RNA", at positions 338 to 668 of the family's 1533-position model. The record is from RNAcentral.
CCUACGGGCGGCAGCAGUGAGGAAUAUUGGUCAAUGGGCGGAAGCCUGAACCAGCCAAGUAGCGUGCAUGAUGACGGCCCUACGGGUUGUAAAUUGCUUUUAUACGGGAAUAACGCGCCUUACGUGUAGGCCUUUGCAUGUACCGUAUGAAUAAGGACCGGCUAAUUCCGUGCCAGCAGCCGCGGUAAUACGGAAGGUACGGGCGUUAACCGGAUUGAUUGGGGUUAACGGGAGCGUAGGCCGCUUGUUAAGCGUGCUGUGAAAUGACCGGGCUCAACCCGGGCCUUGCAGCGCGCACUGGCGUGCUUGAGUCUGCGGAAGGCAGGCAGAAUU